GACGAACGCUGGCGGCGUGCUUAACACAUGCAAGUCGAACGGAAAGGCCCUGCUUUUGUGGGGUGCUCGAGCGGCGAACGGGUGAGUAACACGUGAGUAACCUGCCCUUGACUUUGGGAUAACUUCAGGAAACUGGGGCUAAUACCGGAUAGGAGCUCCUGCUGCAUGGUGGGGGUUGGAAAGUUUCGGCGGUUGGGGACGGACUCGCGGCUUAUCAGCUUGUUGGUGGGGUAGUGGCUUACCAAGGCUUUGACGGGUAGCCGGCCUGAGAGGGUGACCGGCCACAUUGGGACUGAGAUACGGCCCAGACUCCUACGGGAGGCAGCAGUGGGGAAUAUUGCACAAUGGGCGGAAGCCUGAUGCAGCAACGCCGCGUGCGGGAUGACGGCCUUCGGGUUGUAAACCGCUUUCGCCUGUGACGAAGCGUGAGUGACGGUAAUGGGUAAAGAAGCACCGGCUAACUACGUG
RNAcentral lists this ribosomal RNA (468 nucleotides) under uncultured bacterium. RNAcentral's name for it is "partial 16S ribosomal RNA". It matches the Rfam family "Bacterial small subunit ribosomal RNA", at positions 28 to 507 of the family's 1533-position model. The record is from RNAcentral.